GAUGAACGCUGGCGGCGUGCCUAAUACAUGCAAGUCGAGCGAACGGACGAGAAGCUUGCUUCUCUGAUGUUAACGGCGGACGGGUGAGUAAAACGUGGAUCACCUACCUAUAAGACUGGGAUAACUUCGGGCAACCGGAGCUAAUCCCGGAUAAUAUUUUGAACCGCAUGGUUCAAACGUGCAAGACGGUCUUGCUGUCACUUAUAGAUGGAUCCGCUCUGCAUUAGCUAGUUGGUAAGGUAACGGCUUACCCAGGCAACGAUGCAUAGCCGACCUAAGCGGGUGAUUGACCCAACCUGAACCGAGACACGUGCCAAACACCUACGGGAGGCAGCGUUAAGGAAUCUUACGCAAUGGGCGAAAGCCGUACGGGGCCACCCCGCGUGAGUGAGGAAGGCUCUCGGAUUCGAAAACUCUGUUAUUAGGGAAGAACAUAUGUGUAAGUAACUGUGCACAUCUUGACGGUACCUAAUCAGAAAGCCACGGCUAACUACGUG
This 497-nucleotide ribosomal RNA is filed under the name uncultured bacterium. RNAcentral describes it as "partial 16S ribosomal RNA". It matches the Rfam family "Bacterial small subunit ribosomal RNA", at positions 28 to 507 of the family's 1533-position model. The record is from RNAcentral.